This is a long non-coding RNA of Antechinus flavipes (yellow-footed antechinus), 652 nucleotides long. RefSeq lists it as uncharacterized. Lineage: Eukaryota; Metazoa; Chordata; Mammalia; Dasyuromorphia; Dasyuridae. The transcript has 3 exons. The record is from RefSeq and is a predicted model, not a curated record.
CAAUUUCAGAUGCAAGCAGUAAUCUCCACUGAAGUGGGAGUUCAAGCCAUAGCAACCUUGAGGCUGAGAUUGCAUUUGGGCCGUUGAAGCCAGCCAGCCCAGCUGAGAAGCUCUGAAAAUCCAGGGUGCCUGGGAUUCAAGGCCAAGAGAGGCUUUGGACUUGGAACUUGAGACUUCACGCUAUAGCAACUGAGCUAAAGGGCGGCAUCCCUAUCACAAGCCCUGAUUGCACCAAUGAUCCACAGUUUGUCCUCUUGGCUCUCAUACUUGACUUACUUCUUAGGGCUCUCAUCAACAGUAGCAACACUCCCUCAGCCACCUAAGGGGCUAGCUUGAGCCACAAGACUCGGGUACCAGCAGUGGACAACUUGAAAGCACUUUUAAAUCCAGAGGAAUUAAUAAUGUUUGCACCAACUCAGCCCUGCUUUUCUAACUAGAUAAUCUCCCACAUGACAAAUAAGUAUAAUCAAGCCAGUCAAAAUACCAUACUGGCCAUAUCUGAUAAUAUUUUCCUUGUGAUAUAAUUCCAUCCCAUGAUCUCGUUGCCAAGAAGCAGGAGGGAUGCUUCAUAUUCAGUCUUCGGAAGCCAUGAUGAGUUUAGGAUUGUGAAACAGGAAUGAAUAGGGAAUACAUUGCUGGAGUGGACGAAAGC